This 387-nucleotide ribosomal RNA is filed under the name uncultured soil bacterium. Its description in RNAcentral is "bacterial SSU rRNA". It matches the Rfam family "Bacterial small subunit ribosomal RNA", at positions 94 to 519 of the family's 1533-position model. The record is from RNAcentral.
AGUGGCGGACGGGUGAGUAACACGUAGGUAACCUACCCUUAAGAGGGGGACAACCCAGGGAAACUUGGGCUAAUACCCCAUAAGACCACUGGGAUAAAAGGAGCACUUAGGGAUGGGCCUGCGGCCUAUCAGGUAGUUGGUGGGGUAACGGCCCACCAAGCCAGAGACGGGUAGCCGGACUGAGAGGUCGAACGGCCACACUGGAACUGAGACACGGUCCAGACUCCUACGGGAGGCAGCAGUGGGGAAUCUUGCACAAUGGGGGAAACCCUGAUGCAGCGACGCCGCGUGGAGGAUGAAGGCCUUCGGGUUGUAAACUCCUUUUGUGAGGGACAAUUGAUGGUACCUCACGAAUAAGCCACGGCUAACUCUGUGCCAGCAGCCGCG